RNAcentral lists this long non-coding RNA (226 nucleotides) under Erythranthe guttata (spotted monkey flower). Its description in RNAcentral is "long non-coding RNA (EGUT_LNC000293)". The record is from RNAcentral. Lineage: Eukaryota; Viridiplantae; Streptophyta; Magnoliopsida; Lamiales; Phrymaceae.
CCGCCAUCACACCACCAUCCAUGCCCAACAUCGUCGUCGCGCCUUCCACCAUAGAUCUGACCUUACACCACCAUAGCCGCUAUCUCCUUGCCUCUACAACAAUCCGCUUAUUGCCGCUGUCUCCACCGCCAUAACCACUGUUAGAGAGAGAUAGCGAUAUCGGAAAAUAGAGAUAUAAAGAUUGAGAGAGAGAGAGAGAGAGAGAAAGAAAUAGACAGCGAAAGCG